Non-coding RNA from Cinara cedri, 295 nucleotides. NCBI's taxonomy places the organism in Eukaryota, Metazoa, Arthropoda, Insecta, Hemiptera, Aphididae. The record is from the annotation of a GenBank genome assembly.
GGAAGAUGGUAAUAAUCACGCAUAGAAACUGCCUGCUGAAAAUAGAUGUAACGAUUAUUGGGUUUUGCAACAUUUCAGAAUAAAAGAUAUGAAAGACGCAGAGCCUGAUAAUCAGUAAGUUUAAAUUUGACUGUAAUAAGUAUUUCACAUAUUAUAUUUUUUAUAUAUUUUCAGAUGGAAAGUUGCGAAAUGUACGAUAAAGUUAAGAACCUCCGAUAAUAAUCCGCGUGAUGCAAAUUUCAUAAUAAAGAUGAAUGACGUCAUUUAGUCAGGCCUUGCCAGGUUCAAUAACGAU